GCCAUCAGAUGUUAUUAGCUAUGUUUGCAGGGGUAAUGCAGACUGUGCAGUCCUUUAAGAUGGUGAAGUAACUCUAGAAUUUAUUUGAUUUGUGUGUGGGAAAGAGAGCCUUACUCUUCUAUCCUUAAAAUCACAUUGGCCCAUCUUGUUCUAAUACCAUUUAUAUUUUGACAUGUUAUGUGAUAAUUUUUCCUCCAAAUAUACUAUAUGGCAAGGUUCUGAAGGCUUAAUCUAUUUCAAAAAGUUUUUCAGCAGCUAGUUCUUUAUUAGAAUUCUAUUUCCUGGAUCUCAGGCAUUCUAUAACAGCUUUAGAAUUUAUAUAACUUGUCUGUUGAUUUCAAUUAGAAUAUACACAUCUCCAUUUACCUUCUAUUGCUUUAAUUCUCUCCCCCUUUUCUUUGCUUGAGGAUUUUUCUCCCUGGGAAUUCUUAAGAUUUUUGAAUUGGAAGGGUUUGAGUAAAUGUGCAUAAACCAACUUCAAAAAAAAUUGCAUAGAGCCAGAGAAGAAUUUAGAAGAAUUAUUUUUCAUUAGGAUCAAAAUGCAUGCACCUAGAAAUCCUCACUCAUUUAAACUACUACGGUUGUAGAUUACCUACAUACAUACGACUGUUUUAAGAAAAGCAGUAACAAUGAUACCGGUUAAGAACUCACAUUUUAGGAGUUCCCGUCGUGGCGCAGUGGUUAACGAAUCCGACUAGGAACCAUGAGGUUGCGGGUUCGGUCCCUGGCCUUGCUCAGUGGGUUGCGGGUUCGGUCCCUGCCCUUGCUCAGUGGGUUGCGGGUUCGGUCCCUGCCCUUGCUCAGUGGGUUAACGAUCCGAAUCCGACUAGGAACCAUGAGGUUGCGGGUUCGGUCCCUGCCCUUGCUCAGUGGGUUAACGAUCCGGCGUUGCCGUGAGCUGUGGUGUAGGUUGCAGACACGGCUCGGAUCCCGCGUUGCUGUGGCUCUGGCGUAGGCCUGUGGCUACAGCUCCAAUUAGACCCCUAGCCUGGGAACCUCCAUAUGCUGUGGGAGCGGCCCAAGAAAUAGCAAAAAGACAAAAAAAAAAAAAAAAAAAAAAAAGAGUCAACUGUAUAUACAAUAUUCCAUCCCAAAGCACAAACUAUGUAUUUUCAAGUUGCAUGUGCACCAUUCUCCAGGAUGGAUCAUAUAUUAGGCCAUAAAGAUAGUCUUAAUAAUGUAAGAUUAAAAUUAGCAAGCAUAUUUUCCAACUACAAUGGCUAGAAACUAGAAAUCAAUUACAAGAAGAAAGUUGGAAAAUUCCCAAAUAAGUAGAGAUUAAACAACACACUAACAGACAACCAAUGAGUCAAAGAAUAACACAAGAUAAGUAAAAACAAAAACAAAAACUAAAAAAACCUUGAGACAAAUAAAAGUGGGACUACAACAUGGCA
RNAcentral lists this long non-coding RNA (1394 nucleotides) under Sus scrofa (pig). RNAcentral's name for it is "lncRNA (ENSSSCG00070010672.1)". Lineage: Eukaryota; Metazoa; Chordata; Mammalia; Artiodactyla; Suidae. The record is from RNAcentral.